CUGGCGGCGUGCCUAACACAUGCAAGUCGAGCGAGGAGAUCCCUUCGGGGAUGAACCUAGCGGCGGACGGGUGAGUAACACGUGGGCAACCUGCCUUAUAGAGGGGAAUAGCUUCCGAAAGGAAGAUUAAUACCGCAUAACAUUACAUUUUCGCAUGAAGAAGUAAUUAAAGGAGUAAUCCGCUAUAAGAUGGGCCCGCGGCGCAUUAGCUAGUUGGUGAGGUAACGGCUCACCAAGGCGACGAUGCGUAGCCGACCUGAGAGGGUGAUCGGCCACAUUGGGACUGAGACACGGCCCAGACUCCUACGGGAGGCAGCAGUGGGGAAUAUUGCACAAUGGGGGAAACCCUGAUGCCAGCAACGCCGCGUGAGUGAUGAAGGUCUUCGGAUCGUAAAGCUCUGUCUUCAGGGACGAUAAUGACGGUACCUGAGGAGGAAGCCACGGCUAACUACGUGCCAGCCGCCGC
This 466-nucleotide ribosomal RNA is filed under the name uncultured bacterium. RNAcentral's name for it is "bacterial SSU rRNA". It matches the Rfam family "Bacterial small subunit ribosomal RNA", at positions 36 to 518 of the family's 1533-position model. The record is from RNAcentral.